GCCCUUGAAUAUAAAAUACACAACCUAUUAGCAUGUGUUAAUGAUCAGCCCCAACUAGCAAACCCAAAAGGAAACUAGCUCUGUAUCACACGGCUAUGAUUAACCCCAUGAUAGAGUAAAGAAACUAGUCCUGAAAAUAAAUAUGUAAAGUAUCAGUAUGUGCCAGCGAUCAGCCCCAACUAGCUAGGUUUGAAAGAACUAGUUCUAUCAGUGAUCAGUCC
RNAcentral lists this long non-coding RNA (221 nucleotides) under Elaeis guineensis (African oil palm). RNAcentral describes it as "long non-coding RNA (EGUI_LNC009770)". Lineage: Eukaryota; Viridiplantae; Streptophyta; Magnoliopsida; Arecales; Arecaceae. The record is from RNAcentral.